AAGGCGUAGUACGGCACAAUGACAAUCUUAGCUAUCUUAUUCUAGUUUUGAAAUGAAGUUCGGAUGACGUAUGAUCUGCAACCAUGAACUAAUACAUAUUCAUCAUGUCUUCAUCGGAUUGUGGGUCUUGCUUGACAACAAUACCGAAUAUUGCUUUAUAUCGAUGUCAAACUUGCACACCUAAUUAUGGAGAAACGUCAAGUGAAAACUUGUUCUGCGAAGACUGCUUAGUUCCGCAUAUACGAAAAGGGCACUCGAUUGUGGACUCGAAAGGUUUUGAACCAAUUGCGUGCGCGGUUCACAAUUUUAUUGUCUCCGAAUACUGCAAAACAUGUGACGUUCUUUUCUGUUGCAAAUGCCUGGCAUCACACAGAAAACAUGAAUGUGAAUCACUCGAAGAGAAAGCUUUGGAAGUAAAAACAAAAGUUUUCAGCCUGUUAACUGAUUUAGAAAACAAAGAGAAACCUGUUCAACUAAGAAAGACAACAUUUUCAAAAAUUGUCAAUCAAAACAAAACUGAUGCUGAAAAAAUUUCCCUCGCCAUAGAAAGCGAAUGUAACAAACUGCAAGAAAAUCUGCUGCGCGACGUUUUAGGAAAAUCAAAAUCCAAUGAGAAAUUCGAACAGAAUCUUGAAAACGUAUGCAAUGAACUAAUUGAUGUUCAAAAAAGUGUUCGGGAGUUGCUGAGCGAGUCAGACCAAAGACUGAUUAACAAUUACUCCAGUGUUUUUAUGAAAGUUGAAAAGUUCCAACCAAUGUUUGAAAGUUGCACUGACCAACAAGAACUAGUCGUUUCGUUUUGCUCCGAAGAGUUAGUCAGGAAAACUUUUGAAAACUUUACCCUUUAUCUUCAAAAAAUGUUGACUUUUGUUGGCAAAUGUAAUAUAUUCAAUAUCGUGGGACAGCAAAGAAGCCAGAUCUUCAGAAUUGCAGACAAUUUUUGCGGGAAUAUUGAAGUUAUCAAAGUGAAUCUUGUCAAAGAUGAUCAGAAAUUUGAACUUGUUUCUCGUUUCCAAACAACAGUCGGUAAAAACGUUACGAUAACCCACGUCUACCCAUUGAAUAACUUCCUAAGUGAUUUUACAAGUGACUUCAUAUUUUUGCUAAGUGACAGAACUGCCAUGACCCACAAAAAUGGGAAGUUUUCACCUGCAAAUUACCCUGAAUGUGAUAACUGUCUUUGGCCCUUUAAAUUCGGAAACUCUUUGUAUUGGUCUUACUGGGAUCCAAUAAACCAUAUGGUAAAAUUAACGAACAGUAAAAGCUGUAAAUUUAAUUCGAAGUCAUGUCCAAAAAUAAAAAUGACUGGUAGUUAUUAUACAGAUCAGUUGUUUUUUAUUGAUGAAAACGAGAACAAAAUUAUCAAGUUUUCAGUUAUAACUGGUUCAGUAACUGAAAUAACUUCAGACACUCAUCAACUAGACUCGGUUGAUUGCAUAUCACCUAUCUCCUACAACUUAAUCUGUGUUUGGUCGGUUCCUGCUAAAUUGGCGCAUCUGUUAAGAAAAGACGAACUCAAUAGCUCAUAUACUUUAGUGAAACAGAUUUCAUGGAAAAACCAGCCCGAGAGUAUUAGUUUUUCUUACUCGGUGUUCGACUUCACGUUCUUACCGACAAUAACUUGGGAUAAAAAUUCGACGACGUUCAGUCAUAUCUUUGCAAUUUGGGCAGAAGUUAAGAAAGAAAAAGCUAUUGUUUCACCUCCAACUUCUAUCAAGUGUGACAAAUGUGGAAAAACUUUCAAACGCCAACUUGGCCUGUCUGAUCAUAGAAGAAUGAAACAUGGAAUACAUUGAUUUAUGGAUAUACGACUGAAAUUAAAUAGUUCGUCUUUGGUAAACAGCUCACAUUUAUUGUUCCGACUUUCGAUACGAAAGUAACGGAAUAUUUAUGCU
This is a long non-coding RNA of Symsagittifera roscoffensis, 1895 nucleotides long. RefSeq lists it as uncharacterized. Lineage: Eukaryota; Metazoa; Xenacoelomorpha; Acoela; Convolutidae. The transcript has 3 exons. The record is from RefSeq and is a predicted model, not a curated record.